Molecule: ribosomal RNA, 253 nt
Filed under: uncultured bacterium
Lineage: Bacteria
Description: partial 16S ribosomal RNA
Rfam family: Bacterial small subunit ribosomal RNA
Source: RNAcentral
GACGUAGGGCGCGAGCGUUGUCCGGAUUUAUUGGGCGUAAAGAGCUCGUAGGCGGCUUGUCGCGUCGAAUGUGAAAACCCGCAGCUCAACUGCGGGCUUGCAUUCGAUACGGGCAGGCUCGAGUUCGGUAGGGGAGACUGGAAUUCCUGGUGUAGCGGUGAAAUGCGCAGAUAUCAGGAGGAACACCGGUGGCGAAGGCGGGUCUCUGGGCCGAUACUGACGCUGAGGAGCGAAAGCGUGGGGAGCGAACAGG